This 253-nucleotide ribosomal RNA is filed under the name uncultured bacterium. RNAcentral's name for it is "partial 16S ribosomal RNA". It matches the Rfam family "Bacterial small subunit ribosomal RNA", at positions 524 to 776 of the family's 1533-position model. The record is from RNAcentral.
UACAGAGGGGGCAAGCGUUGUUCGGAAUUACUGGGCGUAAAGGGCGCGUAGGCGGCCUUCUAAGUCGAACGUGAAAUCCCCGGGCUCAACCCGGGAACUGCGUCCGAUACUGGAAGGCUUGAAUCCGGGAGAGGGAUGCGGAAUUCCAGGUGUAGCGGUGAAAUGCGUAGAUAUCAGGAGGAACACCGAUGGCGAAGGCAGGUCUCUGGGCCACUACUGACGCUGAGAAGCGAAAGCAUGGGGAGCGAACAGG